RNAcentral lists this signal recognition particle RNA (99 nucleotides) under Oxalobacter sp. OttesenSCG-928-P03. RNAcentral's name for it is "signal recognition particle sRNA small type". It matches the Rfam family "Bacterial small signal recognition particle RNA". From Rfam's summary of the family: The signal recognition particle (SRP) is a universally conserved ribonucleoprotein involved in the co-translational targeting of proteins to membranes. Archaeal SRP consists of a 7S RNA and homologues of the eukaryotic SRP19 and SRP54 proteins. The record is from RNAcentral. Lineage: Bacteria; Pseudomonadati; Pseudomonadota; Betaproteobacteria; Burkholderiales; Oxalobacteraceae.
GGCGGGUCCCUGCGCAUUGUGGAAUGGUGAAUCUGGUCAGGUCGGGAACGAAGCAGCCACAGCCAGUCUCUACAAGUGCCGCAGAUCAGGCUCGCCUUC